GGGCCCGCACAAGCGGUGGAGCAUGUGGUUUAAUUCGAUGAUACGCGAGGAACCUUACCAGGGCUUAAAUGUAGUGGGACAGGUCUAGAGAUAGACCCUUCUUCGGACUCAUUACAAGGUGCUGCAUGGUUGUCGUCAGCUCGUGCCGUGAGGUGUCAGGUUAAGUCCUAUAACGAGCGCAACCCCUAUCGUUAGUUGCCAGCGGGUCAUGCCGGGAACUCUAGCGAAACUGCCGGUGCAAAACCGAGAGGAAGGUGGGGGAUGACGUCAAAUCAUCACGGCCCUUACGUCCUGGGCCACACACGUGCUACAAUGGCCGGUACAGAGAGCAGCCACUACGCGAGUAGGAG
RNAcentral lists this ribosomal RNA (350 nucleotides) under uncultured bacterium. RNAcentral describes it as "bacterial SSU rRNA". It matches the Rfam family "Bacterial small subunit ribosomal RNA", at positions 917 to 1267 of the family's 1533-position model. The record is from RNAcentral.